RNAcentral lists this ribosomal RNA (422 nucleotides) under uncultured archaeon. RNAcentral's name for it is "partial 16S ribosomal RNA". It matches the Rfam family "Archaeal small subunit ribosomal RNA", at positions 323 to 746 of the family's 1478-position model. The record is from RNAcentral.
CUACGGGACGCUCCAGUCAAGUAUCUUUUACAAUGCACGAAAGUGUGAUAGAGCGAGCCAGAGUGUUUCCCCUUGGGAAACUUUUUUCUGAUGCAAAAAGUCAGAAGAAUAAGGACUGGGCAAGACCGGUGCCAGCCGCCGCGGUAAUACCGGCGGUCCAAGUCGCAUCCACUUUUAUUGGGUCUAAAACAUCCGUAGCUUGCCUUGCAAGUCUCUUGUGAAAUCCUAUAUCUUAAAUAUAGGGCGUGCAAGAGGUACUGCAAGGCUUUGAGACCGGAAGACGCAAGGAGUACGGCUAAGGUAGCGGUAAAAUGUGUUAAUCUUGGUUGGACUAACAAUUAGCGAAGGCACCUUGCGAGUACGGAUCUGACAGUGAGGGAUGAAGGCUAGGGGCGCAAAAGGGAUUAGAUACCCUUGUAGUC